CCCAAAGACCAAAUGUCUGAUUUGAAACCAUAAGGAAUAUCUGCAAGGAGUUCAGGACACAUAUAAUUGGGAGUUCCAACCACCUGCGCAUAUGGUUACAAAACAACUUUUAGUCUCAAGAUGGUGAAGCAAUUAACAAUCAUCUCUUACUAUAGGGAAUUACUAUAUCAUCGAUUCCUUGCAAAAAUUGUGUUUAACUGCUGCUUCUUGUCUAAACAAUUUGUUUAUGUGUAGAUCACCAUAUCUUUCCUGAUGUUGCAUAGAACACAUUGUAUUAAGUAUUACUGGACUCACUCAUCAAUUCUAGUUAGUAUUAACAUAUAAAUUGAUACAGUAAAUGGAAUGUGACAUUUUCUUUAUUGUUAAUGCUGUGCAACAGAAUGACAUUAGAUUAAAAUAUGUAAGGGGUUCUUGGAGUUCAAUCAUUGCUUGAAAUUUCCAUGCAUUCUCAACCAUCAUGAUAACCUAAUGGGAUUUGCUUGCCUUUCAUUUACAGAGUUUUUAUGCACUGAAAUAGUUUGCAAAGCCA
This 529-nucleotide unclassified non-coding RNA is filed under the name Hevea brasiliensis (rubber tree). The record is from RNAcentral. Lineage: Eukaryota; Viridiplantae; Streptophyta; Magnoliopsida; Malpighiales; Euphorbiaceae.